AGUAGUCUCCUAAGUAAAGAUAGAAAUGUUUUAUUAUUUUACAAAUACCUGUGUCACCUUAUUCUAGGUCCUGCUCCUAAAGCCCAGACCAUGUACCCAGCUGUACCUUGCUGACAAUGACAUUUACACUUCUUGUUAGUAGCAUCCCAUUCAAACACUCCCUAGGUCUCCAUUCAAAGUGGGUCAGGCAAGUUGUUGCAAGAGAAGAACACUAGUCAUUGUCCUAGAAAGGUGCUGGCACCAUCCCAUCCUCCCUGCCACAAAGAUCCUGAUUCUCCUUCCCUUCACUGGCAUCCUCAGGCAUCUUUCCACCACCUCGACCUGGGUGGGCAAGGGCAGCUUGUGCUGGGAAGUUCCUGUCCUGCAGACUGCUGCCAGUUUGUCUAGUUUUACCAUGGAGCAGAGCACAUGGGCCAGUUUUCAGGUUCAGAAGUUGGAGGGGUGAAGGGGAACUAACAACACAGUGCACAAUGUGACACUUCUUUUGAAAACUAAAGAUAUAAAAAAAUUUGAGAGGGAAAGGAGGAAUAGACAGAAGUGAUGCCACUCUCUAGCACCUGCUUAGCCAGUGCAAAUCUUAGGAGAGGCAAAAAGGUCUUUGUUUUUUACCAACUGCUGCCACAGAGGAACUGCAACGGGAAGCCUCUGUCACAAAUUGGGUGUUGUUCCAACCCAUUGUGGCUUCCCAAUGAGGAAAAGAAAAGGCUUAAUAUACUAAUACUGCACACUUAGGCUAUGCACAGCAGAUAAACUGCAAAUACCUAAAUAAAGCAAAAUUUCAAGAGGGAUGGAAAUUCAAAAGUUCCCAGAUGGAACAUUAACACAGUACAAAUUUUGUGUCUUCUUGAGUACUUUUGAAGAGCUCCUCUGUAAUCUCUUUUGCCUUUUUCCAGAGGAAUUCAGCAAAGAGCUCCUAAAACCUGCUAUUCCUUAUGUUAAUAACAGGCUUUUCUUAUUUAGAUCUCAAAAGACAGUGGAUCAGAGGAUCCCUGACUUGGGAAAGAGCUGGACAAACCUCAAGAGGAGCUGUUCUGAUUAGAUUUAGCUGCUAGGGAAGUACUGGUCCCACCAACAAAUAGCCAGGUUUUGACCCUCAGCUAUAUACAUUCAGUUCCAUUUUCAACUAUUUCUAAAAUGCAAAGCUGACUGCAACUCUAUCACCAGGAAAUUUUAAUUUAAGGAGUGAAGAUGUAAAAAGGUGUCUCUGCUCAUGGCAAGGAGGUUGGAAGAAGAUGAGCUUUAAGGUCCCUUCCAACACAAAUCAUUCUAUGAUUCUAUGAAUGCAUAAUUAGGUUAAUUAGCCUCCACAUCCAAAGUGUGUAAGCCAAAACCCCAAAUCCCUCCAGCUGGAACGAGUGAGGCAAUUUCUCUCAUUAUGGCUUCUACCACAGUAAUAUAUGGUGUUUUCAUUCCUAGCUAGUAAGAGGAUCUGAAGUAGCUGCUUAUGAGUAACGUGACCAUGCCAGCUGUUUACACAGCCAGGAGGCAGAGAUAAGUUUUCUACAAUGGACAGUUCUCAUCUCCUCCUGUUGAGCUGAUAAGUUUCAGUGUAGGCUGAGAGGCCAGAAAUAUUUUUAAGGCAGAAGAAAGACUCCUUUCUGCACCAUCACUGAAGAGGAACACUGUUUAAAGAAAAACAUCCAUCUUUACAGACAUGUCCUGUACCAAAGCUAAGCCAGCAAUCUCCUGCCAGCCUGGUCAAGAGAGGUCAGGCCAAGCAGUGCCAGGUACCACAGGACAGCAAGGUGGAGGAUUUGGAUGAACACAACAUUUAAGUCACAAAAAGAGAGAUCAUCCCAGGAAAGUCAACAGGAGGCACGUGAGCAUUGACAGACGUGUGGCUGAUUUACAGCCAGGAGGAGACCCUCGCGACAGGGGCUGCGACGCCCCGGAGAAUGGCAGCAGACCUUGUGCUCUGAGCCUCCAACCAAGUUCUAGCGUGCCUCUUGUCACUGAGAGGGGCACGUGCCUGCCAUCAGAACGGAAAGACUCCCUCUGUUGGCUCGGCCAUCCUCCCCACGGCUCCUGGGCCCUUGGAGCGGCCACAGAGCUGCUCCUGACGUCAGUCAGGAAGCACAGGUUUUGAAACAGCUUGUGUCCAUGUUGCCCUGCCUGGUGAGCUGCCUUGCUGGCUGGCUCUGAACAGACAGGCUUUCAGCAAACACACUAGUCCCUUCUUGCCUCCAGCCAAAAAGGCCAGCAGCCAAGAUGUACGUAUCAGCUUUCUGGAGCUCACAAGCUUUAGGAAACGAGGAUCAGGAUCCUGUAAUCAUGUUUCAGGUGUGGAAAGGCCACCCCUGCAAUGGUAGCACCGUUGUGCAGUUUAAAGCAGCUCAGCUAAGGAGCAGUCAAAGACUCGCCAUUCCUCAAACUCUGUCCUUGUGUAGUGAGAUCCUCACAAUGGCAUCCUGCCCCUGCAGUUCAGCAGUUAAAUCAAUACAGAGUGGAACAGUAGCUGAAGGUCUUCUGGGAACCAUUUUCACCAGCCCAUACUCCUGCCAACCCCUGCCACAACUGCCUAUGUGCUGAGGAAGAGGCAGGGAGGAUGGUGACCACCCAGCAGGACUGCCAAAAGCACCAGUUUGUUGGUCCAUCCCCUCAAAUGUGCCUGAUGGCCUGUGGAAGGGAUAUCAAAAUUGCUGGGCCAUGGCAAAUCAUCUCUUGGGGAUGCAGCAGCUCUGUAAUGACCCUCUCCAUACCUUCAUCUUGUCUCUGCUACUUGCCCUCUUUCUCAGAAUGUCUUAGGAAUAUGAUUUGACCAAAAUCACAGAAAACAGGAAACUACCUUCUUCCUUCUCCCCUUGCACUCUCCAUCUGCUAUCAGCUGUUCCUUCCCAGUAACUCCAAAAAAUAAGAGCAGAGCUGCAGACAAGGAAAAAUGAUCUUUUUAAGUGCAGGGGGGCCAGUGGGGAGGUCUGCAUUGCUCAAUGGCCAAGC
This is a long non-coding RNA of Passer domesticus (house sparrow), 2937 nucleotides long. RefSeq lists it as uncharacterized. Lineage: Eukaryota; Metazoa; Chordata; Aves; Passeriformes; Passeridae. The transcript is spliced from 3 exons. The record is from RefSeq and is a predicted model, not a curated record.